RNAcentral lists this ribosomal RNA (529 nucleotides) under uncultured bacterium. RNAcentral's name for it is "bacterial SSU rRNA". It matches the Rfam family "Bacterial small subunit ribosomal RNA", at positions 355 to 899 of the family's 1533-position model. The record is from RNAcentral.
UGGGGAAUCUUGCACAAUGGGCGAAAGCCUGAUGCAGCAACGCCGCGUGCGGGAAGACAGCCCUAGGGUUGUAAACCGCUUUCAGCAGGGAAGAAACUGACGGUACCUGCAGAAGAAGAUGCGGCCAACUACGUGCCAGCAGCCGCGGUGACACGUAGGCAUCAAGCGUUAUCCGGAUUUAUUGGGCGUAAAGAGCUCGUAGGCGGUUCGGUAAGUCGGGUGUGAAAACUCUGGGCUCAACCCAGAGAGGCCACUCGAUACUGCUGUGACUAGAGUGCGGUAGGGGAGCGGGGAAUUCCUGGUGUAGCGGUGAAAUGCGCAGAUAUCAGGAGGAACACCGGUGGCGAAGGCGGGUCUCUGGGCCGGAACUGACGCUGAGGAGCGAAAGCGUGGGGAGCGAACAGGAUUAGAUACCCUGGUAGUCCACGCCGUAAACGAUGUCUGCUAGACGUCGGGGGGUCGCAGCCCUUCGGUGUCGCAGCUAACGCAUUAAGCGCCCCAGCCUGGGAGUACGGUCGCAAGAUUAAAA